AUUCUUAACUUCUGAGAGAAAUACAAAAAAGAAAAAUAAGCAAAGAACAGAUAAUAGAAAGGAACACAGUAAAUACAACAUAAUGCUUAUAGUAAAUAU
Molecule: small nucleolar RNA, 99 nt
Filed under: Tursiops truncatus (common bottlenose dolphin)
Lineage: Eukaryota; Metazoa; Chordata; Mammalia; Artiodactyla; Delphinidae
Description: Small nucleolar RNA snR66 (ENSTTRG00000023368.1)
Source: RNAcentral